This is a non-coding RNA of Malus domestica (apple), 2091 nucleotides long. Lineage: Eukaryota; Viridiplantae; Streptophyta; Magnoliopsida; Rosales; Rosaceae. The record is from RefSeq and is a predicted model, not a curated record.
UAUGAAUUGGGACCCGACAAUCCACCAUAUGCUGACAAGUUCUACGACUUUUGUGGGGCUGAGGUUCCUGAGGCAUCCAGCUGCACUACCAGUUUCCAUGUUUCGUAUGAUGACGAUUGAUCCAUGUAAUAUCUCUCUUUUAAGUUUCAUCAUUUCAUUCAAUCUUGCUCUUGCACUCUAACCAAGGUUUUGUAUUUCCAAUAAUCUCAUCUCUUUUAUAUAAACAUGAAGUUGAUUCGUAAUUGGUUUUUUUUUUCUUAAGGUCUGUGUUUAUUUUCAUUACUGUAUUAAUGUUUUCUGCUGUUGUUUAUAUAAUUCUAAAAGGAGAGAGAUUAAUGGCAAUAUGGCAUGAGGGUAAAAAAGACAAGCGAAGGAGGGAAGGAUGAGGAAUGCACGGGUUGGCCUAUUUUGGCCUGAGUUUUUUUUUUUAAUUGGUUUGGGAUUUCGUUUAUGUUUGCGGUUCUUUUGCUCUAAUUAAUAUUGUUUGGAAUUCAUUAGAAUUUUGUUUAUGUUUGGGGUUGUCAUGUUCGAGUAUUUAAUUAGGAUAAACCUAAUUUGGUAGUUUACGUUACAGUUGUUAGUUUUCUUAAAGGAUAAAUCCAAGCGAUAAUGCCUUUUCUGAUAUAUGUGCAAAUGUUAACACUUUGUAGAUUUUCAGUUUUUAAACAAUAAGAAAAUCUAACCGUUCAGACUCCAGAGUGCUUUGUCAUUAAGGUAAAUGAUUUUCAUUUUUUGCUUUGUGCCUUUUGUGAUUAAGAAAGUUUAGUCAUUUGUUUAUUCACUUAGUAAUUAACUGGUGAGAGGAUGAAACAUUUCACUGCUGGUUACUAAAAAACUAACAUAAUCUGAUAGAAGAGCUUUCGUUUCUUUUUCUUUGCUUGCAUUAAUUUUGUAUUGUGUUUUUUUUUUUUUUUUAGAAUUUUUUGUGCAUAUUUUUGGGAAUUUUUAUUUGGUUAGAGAAAGGGGAAGAAUAUAAGGAGAGGAAUUAUAUCCUUCGAGUUUUUGGAAGUUUUAAUGCGAUUCGCAUCUUGCAUUUUUGUAACGUCUGUACAAGUUGUCACUUAGAUCUUUUGGUUUUUGGCUACUUUAGUUUUUGAUCAUUAAAUUGUAAGAUUAAAGUUUGUGAUUGAGUUCUUAUUUAAUUCCAGAUUGGAAUGGGUGCAAUCUAAGCACUCCUAAAAUUGAAAAGUUCUCCGAAGAUUUUGAGAAUGGCUGUGUCAUAUAUGGUUUAUCAUCCAUGCAAGGAUGACGUACCACAAUGGAGGAUGCUGUAAUUGAUCAUCAUGCGGUUUGUAAGUUGGAUUUUUCUAACUGGUGGGUUAUCGAAUUGAUAAAAUUGGCGAAUUUGAUUAAUGUAGUGUCAAAUUGGUGGAGCAUGAGUUAUGACAGCGAGAAGAGAAGGGGUUAAUUGGUGUGUUGUCUCAAGGUUAAAUGCGUCUUAUUCAUGCAGUUACACCUGAAACAGUUAGUUCUCGCCGCAACGCCCGGGCUUAAUAUCUAGUAGGUUCUAAGGGAAUGUUGAGAGAGAAGAUUUCCCCAAUAAAUGAACGAGAGUAGAUGAAUUCCAUGAAGAACUAAGAACUGCUCUCUCUCUCUCUCUCUCUCUCUCUCUCUCUCUCUCUCUCUCUAUAUAUCUUCUAAUUAAUGUCGAGUCCAGAUUCAUCAUCAAAUGGGAGCAAUAACAUCUAUUGCUAUAGUCAUGGUGUGCAAGAAAUGUAAGGAACUCACAAGAAAGAAACAAAUUCAGAAUGGCAGCUUAGUGAGGAUCACAAGUCUAGACUUUCAGACACUUGCAAUGAACAACCCUUGAGCUGAUAUCUUGGAGGCAAAGUUACAAGUUUUGAAUUUCAAUUUUUUAUGUUUACUUUCAUAUGUAAUCUGAGCCAUUGGAUCAUAGUCCAAGUGGUCUCUUCUCUAGCCUAAGAUUUAAGUGAUAGAUUAUGACAAGUGUAAUCACCUCAUAGGGUGAUAGAAUCAAAGGCUAGGAUUUAAUCUUGGUGUAAAGUUGUUAGAGAAGAAUCUCACUGCUCUCUCUCCUCUAACGGUUAUAUUUGGUUAGUGGAGUGUGAAAUUCAAUUAGAAUCUUCAUCA